Molecule: long non-coding RNA, 322 nt
Filed under: Mytilus galloprovincialis (Mediterranean mussel)
Lineage: Eukaryota; Metazoa; Mollusca; Bivalvia; Mytilida; Mytilidae
Source: RNAcentral
CGUUUCGUCUACAUAAGACUCAUCAGUGACGCUCAUAUCAAAAUAGUUAUAAAGCCAAACAGGUACAAAGUUGAAGAGCAUUGAGGAUCCAAAAUUCCAAGAAGUUGUGCCAAAUACGGCUAAGGUAAUCUAUUCCUGGGAUAAGAAAAUCCUUAGUUUUACGAUAAAUUCAAAGUUUUGUAUACAGAAAAUUUAUAAAAAUGACCACAUAAUUGAUAUUCAUGUCAACACCGAAGUGCUGACUACUGGGCUGGUGAUACCCUCGGGGACGAAACGUCCACCAGCAGUGGCAUCGACCCAGUGGUGUAAAUAGUUAUCAAAG